GGCGAACGCUGGCGGCGCGCUUAACACAUGCAAGUCGAACGGAAAGGCCUGCUUUCCCUUGUGGAUUGCGGGUACUCGAGUGGCGAACGGGUGAGUAACACGUGAGUGAUCUGCCCCCAACUUGGGUAUAAGCCUGGGAAACUGGGUCUAAUUCCCGAUAGGACUGCAGGGUGGUGCCUGUGGUGGAAAACGAUUUUCUAGUGGUUGGGGAUGAGCUCGCGGCCUAUCAGCUUGUUGGUGGGGUAAUGGCCUACCAAGGCGGCGACGGGUAGCCGGCCUGGGAGGGUGGACGGUCACAUUGGGACUGAGAUACGGCCCAGACUCCUACGGGAGGCAGCAGUGGGGAAUAUUGCACAAUGGGCGGAAGCCUGAUGCAGCGACGCCGCGUGGGGGAUGACGGCCUUCGGGUUGUAAACUCCUUUCGACCGCGAGGAAGCCACCUGGUUGGAAGGGUGGUGACGGUAGUGGUAGAAGAAGCACCGGCUAACUACGUG
Molecule: ribosomal RNA, 494 nt
Filed under: uncultured bacterium
Lineage: Bacteria
Description: partial 16S ribosomal RNA
Rfam family: Bacterial small subunit ribosomal RNA
Source: RNAcentral